AGAGUGGCGGACGGGUGAGUAACGCGUGGGAACCUGCCCAGUGGUGGGGGAUAACUGCGGGAAACUGCAGCUAAUACCGCAUGAGCCCGAGAGGGGAAAGAUUUAUGCGCCAUUGGAGGGGCCCGCGUUCGAUUAGGUAGUUGGUGAGGUAACGGCUCACCAAGCCGACGAUCGAUAGCUGGUCUGAGAGGAUGAUCAGCCACACUGGGACUGAGAUACGGCCCAGACUCCUACGGGAGGCAGCAGUGGGGAAUAUUGGACAAUGGGGGCAACCCUGAUCCAGCAAUGCCGCGUGAGUGAUGAAGGCCUUCGGGUUGUAAAGCUCUUUUGCCAGGGACGAUGAUGACGGUACCUGGAGAAUAAGCCCCGGCUAACUUCGUGCCAGCAGCCGCGGUAAUACGAAGGGGGCAAGCGUUGUUCGGAAUUACUGGGCGUAAAGGGCGCGUAGGCGGCUUAUCAAGUCAGGCGUGAAAUUCCCGGGCUCAACCUGGGGGCUGCGCUUGAUACUGAUGAGCUUGAAUGCGGGAGAGGAUAGUGGAAUUCCCAGUGUAAGGUGAAAUUCGUAGAUAUUGGGAAGAACACCGGUGGCGAAGGCGGCUAUCUGGCCCCGUAAUUGACGCUGAGGCGCGAAAGCGUGGGGAGCAACAGGAUUAAAUACCCUGGUAGUCACGCCGUAAC
Molecule: ribosomal RNA, 678 nt
Filed under: uncultured bacterium
Lineage: Bacteria
Description: bacterial SSU rRNA
Rfam family: Bacterial small subunit ribosomal RNA
Source: RNAcentral